Molecule: ribosomal RNA, 461 nt
Filed under: uncultured ammonia-oxidizing beta proteobacterium
Lineage: Bacteria; Pseudomonadati; Pseudomonadota; Betaproteobacteria
Description: bacterial SSU rRNA
Rfam family: Bacterial small subunit ribosomal RNA
Source: RNAcentral
AAAGUAGGGGAUCGCAAGACCUUGCGCUNNUGGAGUGGCCGAUGCCUGAUUAGCUAGUUGGUGGGGUAAGGGCCUACCAAGGCGACGAUCAGUAGUUGGUCUGAGAGGACGACCAGCCACACUGGGACUGAGACACGGCCCAGACUCCUACGGGAGGCAGCAGUGGGGAAUUUUGGACAAUGGGCGAAAGCCUGAUCCAGCAAUGCCGCGUGAGUGAAGAAGGCCUUCGGGUUGUAAAGCUCUUUCAGUCGAGAAGAAAAGGUCGCGACUAAUAAUCGCGACUCAUGACGGUAUCGACAGAAGAAGCACCGGCUAACUACGUGCCAGCAGCCGCGGUAAUACGUAGGGUGCGAGCGUUAAUCGGAAUUACUGGGCGUAAAGGGUGCGCAGGCGGCUUUGUAAGUCAGAUGUGAAAUCCCCGGGCUUAACCUGGGAAUUGCGUUUGAAACUACAAGGCUAGA